GCAGAACGCGAAGAACCUUACCAGGUCUUGACAUCCCUCUGAAUCUGCUAGAGAUAGCAGCGGCCUUCGGGACAGAGGAGACAGGUGGUGCAUGGUUGCCGUCAGCUCGUGUCGUGAGAUGUUGGGUUAAGUCCCGCAACGAGCGCAACCCUUAACUUUAGUUGCCAGCAGGUUAAGCUGGGCACUCUAGAGUGACUGCCGGUGACAAACCGGAGGAAGGUGGGGAUGACGUCAAAUCAUCAUGCCCCUUAUGACCUGGGCUACACACGUACUACAAUGGCCGGUACAACGGGAAGCGAAGCCGCGAGGUGGAGCCAAUCCCAUCAAAGCCGGUCUCAGUUCGGAUCGGGGUCUGCAACUCGACCCCGUGAAGUCGGAGUCGCUAGUAAUCGCAGAUCAGCAACGCUGCGGUGAAUACGUUCCCGGGUCUUGUACACACCG
RNAcentral lists this ribosomal RNA (441 nucleotides) under uncultured bacterium. Its description in RNAcentral is "bacterial SSU rRNA". It matches the Rfam family "Bacterial small subunit ribosomal RNA", at positions 954 to 1392 of the family's 1533-position model. The record is from RNAcentral.